UGAAACCGUUCAGGGGUAAACCUGAGAAACCCAAAAGAUCGAAUGGGGAGAUUCAUCGUCAACGGCGCUGGCUCCCGUUGGUGCGCGAUGUUCCGGAUGGGCCCUCGUGGUUCCGUUAGCGAGGACACGUCACCUUCGGCCUGAAUGUUCCGGUGCCGUAGUCGUGCACUUCUCCUCUAGUAGAACGUCGCGACCCGUUGUGUGUCGGUCUACGGCCCGAGAGGGCGCCUGUCGCGUCGCUUCGCGCGCACGCGGCAGACCCUCGGUCGCCCGGCCGGCUGCACGACGGUACUCGCACGGUAUCGGGCCGCAACCAAUCCAUUCUCGAAUGUGUUUGCGUCUGUCCCGCCGCAAGCUCGGUCAGUUUUACCCGGAGGUACGGAGUCUGUGGCCGUCCCCGGGCCUGGCCAGCUGUUCGCUGUGCGGAGUCCUCAGACUGGCCAAGCCUCGAAUUACCGGUCGGCGACGCUAUUGCUUUGGGUACUCUCAGGACCCGUCUUGAAACACGGACCAAGGAGUCUAACAUGUGCGCGAGUCAAUGGGAUUGAUUAAACCUAAAGGCGAAAUGAAAGUGAAAAUCGACCUUCGCGUCGAUCGAGGGAGGAUGGGCCGCGUUGCUAUGCGGCCUCGCACUCCCGGGGCGUCUCGUUCUCAUUGCGAGAAGAGGCGCACCCAGAGCGUACACGUUGGGACCCGAAAGAUGGUGAACUAUGCCUGGUCAGGACGAAGUCAGGGGAAACCCUGAUGGAGGUCCGUAGCGAUUCUGACGUGCAAAUCGAUCGUCGGAACUGGGUAUAGGGGCGAAAGACUAAUCGAACCAUCUAGUAGCUGGUUCCCUCCGAAGUUUCCCUCAGGAUAGCUGGCACUCGGUCGUUCAUAUUUGAACAGACGCGAGUCUCAUCUGGUAAAGCGAAUGAUUAGAGGCCUUGGGGCCGAAACGACCUCAACCUAUUCUCAAACUUUAAAUGGGUGAGAUCUCUGGCUUGCUUGGAUCAUGAAGCCACGAGAUUUUGGAUCAGAGUGCCAAGUGGGCCAAUUUUGGUAAGCAGAACUGGCGCUGUGGGAUGAACCAAACGCAGAGUUAAGGCGCCUAAGUCGACGCUUAUGGGAUACCAUGAAAGGCGUUGGUUGCUUAAGACAGCAGGACGGUGGCCAUGGAAGUCGGAAUCCGCUAA
RNAcentral lists this ribosomal RNA (1175 nucleotides) under Centris similis. RNAcentral's name for it is "eukaryotic LSU rRNA". It matches the Rfam family "Eukaryotic large subunit ribosomal RNA", at positions 400 to 1274 of the family's 3401-position model. Lineage: Eukaryota; Metazoa; Arthropoda; Insecta; Hymenoptera; Apidae. The record is from RNAcentral.